This 484-nucleotide ribosomal RNA is filed under the name uncultured bacterium. RNAcentral's name for it is "partial 16S ribosomal RNA". It matches the Rfam family "Bacterial small subunit ribosomal RNA", at positions 30 to 507 of the family's 1533-position model. The record is from RNAcentral.
AUUGAACGCUAGCGGGAUGCUUUACACAUGCAAGUCGAACGGCAGCGCGGACUUCGGUCUGGCUGCGAGUGGCGAACGGGUGAGUAAUGUAUCGGAACGUGCCCAGUAGCGGGGGAUAACUACUCGAAAGCGUAGCUAAUACCGCAUACGCCCUACGGGGGAAAGCAGGGGAUCGUAAGACCUUGCACUAUUGGAGCGGCCGAUAUCGGAUUAGCUAGUUGGUGAGGUAACGGCUCACCAAGGCGACGAUCCGUAGCUGGUUUGAGAGGACGACCAGCCACACUGGGACUGAGAAACGGCCCAGACUCCUACGGGAGGCAGCAGUGGGGAAUUUUGGACAAUGGGGGCAACCCUGAUCCAGCCAUCCCGCGUGUGCGAUGAAGGCCUUCGGGUUGUAAAGCACUUUUGGCAGGAAAGAAACGUCGCGGGCUAAUACCCCGUGGAACUGACGGUACCUGCAGAAUAAGCACCGGCUAACUACGUG